Long non-coding RNA from Gadus morhua (Atlantic cod), 431 nucleotides. RefSeq lists it as uncharacterized. The transcript has 4 exons. The record is from RefSeq and is a predicted model, not a curated record. NCBI's taxonomy places the organism in Eukaryota, Metazoa, Chordata, Actinopteri, Gadiformes, Gadidae.
UUAUCUGAACUUUCUUUCUCAGUGAGCGGCCAUGAAGAUCAGUCUUUCUCUAGAUCCGCUUUAAUCUAUUAAUUAUUAAUACAUUGAAUAAUUUUUAUUAACCAGAUAAACAGUUUUAAGGACACCUCAACCUCUGUUGCUUCCCUUACAUUUAUAGAUUUAUAACUUCAUACCGUAUGGGACGCAUUUUUAUCCCGGAAUAGACAAGAUGACAUAACAUCACCUCCUCCUUGAGACGUUCAUUGGACUUCCUCAUCUGAACUUCAGUCUUUCUCAUCUAUUAUGGAUGAGGAGAGAGAAGAGGGGGGUCCUACCUCUAAAACCAGUCUGUCUGAGGAACACGGCUGCCAGAGCAAAGCUAAGAGCCCAGAGCAGCAGGGGAGACCAGAGUCCCCUGGACCCAGCUGUGUCUCCAUGAAGAGUGACCGCUC